AGUGAACGCUGGCGGUAGGCCUAACACAUGCAAGUCGAACGGCAGCACAGUAAGAGCUUGCUCUUACGGGUGGCGAGUGGCGGACGGGUGAGGAAUACAUCGGAAUCUACUUUUUCGUGGGGGAUAACGUAGGGAAACUUACGCUAAUACCGCAUACGACCUACGGGUGAAAGCAGGGGAUCUUCGGACCUUGCGCGAUUGAAUGAGCCGAUGUCGGAUUAGCUAGUUGGCGGGGUAAAGGCCCACCAAGGCGACGAUCCGUAGCUGGUCUGAGAGGAAGAUCAGCCACACUGGAACUGAGACACGGUCCAGACUCCUACGGGAGGCAGCAGUGGGGAAUAUUGGACAAUGGGCGCAAGCCUGAUCCAGCCAUACCGCGUGGGUGAAGAAGGCCUUCGGGUUGUAAAGCCCUUUUGUUGGGAAAGAAAAGCAGCAGGUUAAUACCCCGCUGUUCUGACGGUACACAAAGAAUAAGCACCGGCUAACUUCGUG
RNAcentral lists this ribosomal RNA (492 nucleotides) under uncultured bacterium. RNAcentral's name for it is "partial 16S ribosomal RNA". It matches the Rfam family "Bacterial small subunit ribosomal RNA", at positions 29 to 507 of the family's 1533-position model. The record is from RNAcentral.